RNAcentral lists this ribosomal RNA (519 nucleotides) under uncultured delta proteobacterium. RNAcentral's name for it is "bacterial SSU rRNA". It matches the Rfam family "Bacterial small subunit ribosomal RNA", at positions 29 to 523 of the family's 1533-position model. The record is from RNAcentral. Lineage: Bacteria; Deltaproteobacteria.
AGCGAACGUUUAGCGGCGGGCCUAACACAUGCAAGUCGAGCGAGAAAGUGGCUUUUUCGGCCAUUCAGUAAAGCGGCGGACGGGUUGAGUAACACGUAGGUAAUCUUCCCUUGAGCGGGGACAACGAGGCGAAAGCCUCGCUAAUACCGCAUACGUUUUUUCGAGACUCUGGUCUUUGAAAAGGAAAGCUAGGCCGCAAGGUCCGGCACUCGAGGAGGAGCCUGCGUCGCAUCAGCUAGUUGGUGGGGUAAUGGCCUACCAAGGCGAAGACGCGUAGCUGGUCUGAGAGGAUGAUCAGCCACACUGGGACUGAGACACGGCCCAGACUCCUACGGGAGCAGCAGUGGGGAAUAUUGGACAAUGGGCGCAAGCCUGAUCCAGCCACGCCGCGUGAGUGAUGAAGGCCUUCGGGUCGUAAAGCUCUGUGGGGAGGGACGAACCGCCGUUGGUGCAUAGCCAACGGCAUGACGGUACCUCCUUAGCAAGCACCGGCUAACUUCGUGCCAGCAGCCGCGGUAA